RNAcentral lists this ribosomal RNA (1131 nucleotides) under marine bacterium BL10_020. Its description in RNAcentral is "bacterial SSU rRNA". It matches the Rfam family "Bacterial small subunit ribosomal RNA", at positions 68 to 1212 of the family's 1533-position model. The record is from RNAcentral.
GUGAAAGCAGAGCUUGCUCUGUGGAUCAGUGGCGAACGGGUGAGUACACGUGAGCAAUCUGCCCCUGACUCUGGGAUAAGCGCUGGAAACGGCGUCUAAUACCGGAUACGAGCUGCGAAGGCAUCUUCAGCAGCUGGAAAGAAUUUCGGUCAGGGAUGAGCUCGCGGCCUAUCAGCUUGUUGGUGAGGUAACGGCUCACCAAGGCGUCGACGGGUAGCCGGCCUGAGAGGGUGACCGGCCACACUGGGACUGAGACACGGCCCAGACUCCUACGGGAGGCAGCAGUGGGGAAUAUUGCACAAUGGGCGAAAGCCUGAUGCAGCAACGCCGCGUGAGGGACGACGGCCUUCGGGUUGUAAACCUCUUUUAGCAGGAAAGAAGCGAAAGUGACGGUACCUGCAGAAAAAGCGCCGGCUAACUACGUGCCAGCAGCCGCGGUAAUACGUAGGGCGCAAGCGUUAUCCGGAAUUAUUGGGCGUAAAGAGCUCGUAGGCGGUCUGUCGCGUCUGCUGUGAAAACCCGAGGCUCAACCUCGGGCCUGCAGUGGGUACGGGCAGACUAGAGUGCGGUAGGGGAGAUUGGAAUUCCUGGUGUAGCGGUGGAAUGCGCAGAUAUCAGGAGGAACACCGAUGGCGAAGGCAGAUCUCUGGGCCGUAACUGACGCUGAGGAGCGAAAGGGUGGGGAGCAAACAGGCUUAGAUACCCUGGUAGUCCACCCCGUAAACGUUGGGAACUAGUUGUGGGGUCCAUUCCACGGAUUCCGUGACGCAGCUAACGCAUUAAGUUCCCCGCCUGGGGAGUACGGCCGCAAGGCUAAAACUCAAAGGAAUUGACGGGGACCCGCACAAGCGGCGGAGCAUGCGGAUUAAUUCGAUGCAACGCGAAGAACCUUACCAAGGCUUGACAUAUACGAGAACGGGCCAGAAAUGGUCAACUCUUUGGACACUCGUAAACAGGUGGUGCAUGGUUGUCGUCAGCUCGUGUCCUGAGAUGUUGGGUUAAGUCCCGCAACGAGCGCAACCCUCGUUCUAUGUUGCCAGCACGUAAUGGUGGGAACUCAUGGGAUACUGCCGGGGUCAACUCGGAGGAAGGUGGGGAUGACGUCAAAUCAUCAUGCCCCUUAUGUCUUGG